Molecule: ribosomal RNA, 774 nt
Filed under: Triticum aestivum (bread wheat)
Lineage: Eukaryota; Viridiplantae; Streptophyta; Magnoliopsida; Poales; Poaceae
Description: partial small subunit ribosomal RNA
Source: RNAcentral
AUGGUUGUAGAUUAUCGUCCCGUUAAUUUGGUCACGAUAAAGAACAAGUAUCCGCUCCCCAGGAUCAACGACCUAUAUGAUCAGCUCACUGGAUCCUCAGUCUUUUCCAAGAUGGAUUUGAGGUUAGGCUACCACCAAAUCAAGAUCAGAAAUGGGGACAUCCCCAAAACGGCCUUUGUCACUCGUUAUGGUCAAUACGAGUACACCGUGAUGUCUUUUGGCCUAACCAAUGCUCCAGCUACUUUCUCCUGCUCGAUGAACUCGAUCUUUAUGGAGUACUUAGAUAAGUUCGUUGUGGUUUAUCUCGAUGAUAUUCUUAUUUACUCGAAGAACGAGGAAGAGCAUGCCGAACAUCUUAGGCUUGUGUUAGAAAAACUCAGAGAGCACCGCCUUUAUGCCAAGUUCUCCAAGUGUGAAUUUUGGUUGCCAGAAGUGACCUAUCUGGGCCACGUGAUCUCUACUAAGGGCAUUGUUGUCAAUCCCGAGAGAGUCAAAGCCGUUCUCGAUUGGACUCCACCCGAAACAGUCAAACAAGUUAGGAGUUUCCUUGGUCUAGCCAGUUAUUGUCGCCGCUUUGUUGAAAACUUCUCCAAAGUGGCCAAACCCCUCACGGAGCUUCUCAAGAAAGAUAAAAGGUUUGAGUGGACCCCACAGUGUGAGCAUAGUUUUCAGGAACUGAAAACAUGCCUGACUUUUGCGCCCAUACUCGUGCCAUUGGAUUUCACUAAGGACUUUGUUAUCUAUUGGGACGCUUCGCGUCAAGGACUAGGUUGA